GAUUAACGCUGGCGGCGUGCCUAACACAUGCAAGUCGAGCGGCAGCGAGUUUUACACUGAAUUCUGGAAGCUUCUAGUUGAAAGAGAAGAUUUAUUCAAGAAUUUUGUGUAAAAUGUCGGCGAGCGGCGGACGGCUGAGUAACGCGUGGGAACGUACCCCAAAGUGAGGGAUAACGCAUCGAAAGGUGUGCUAAUACCGCAUAUGGUCUUCGGAUUAAAGCCUUCGGGCGCUUUGGGAACGGCCUGCGUAAGAUUAGAUAGUUGGUGGGGUAAUGGCCUACCAAGUCGACGAUCUUUAACUGGUUUGGGAGGAUGAUCAGUCAGACUGGAACUGAGACACGGUCCAGACUCCUACGGGAGGCAGCAGUGAGGAAUCUUCCACAAUGGGCGAAAGCCUGAUGGAGCAACGCCGCGUGCAGGAUGAAGGCCUUCGGGUUGUAAACUGCUUUUAUAAGUGAGGAUUAUGACAGUAACUUAUGAAUAAGGAUCGGCUAACUACGUG
RNAcentral lists this ribosomal RNA (502 nucleotides) under uncultured bacterium. Its description in RNAcentral is "partial 16S ribosomal RNA". It matches the Rfam family "Bacterial small subunit ribosomal RNA", at positions 28 to 507 of the family's 1533-position model. The record is from RNAcentral.